GAGUUUGAUCGUGGCUCAGAUUGAACGCCGGCGGCAUGCCUUACACAUGCAAGUCGAACGGCAGCAUGAUCUAGCUUGCUAGAUUGAUGGCGAGUGGCGAACGGGUGAGUAAUACAUCGGAACGUGCCCUGUAGUGGGGGAUAACUAGUCGAAAGAUUAGCUAAUACCGCAUACGACCUGAGGGUGAAAGUGGGGGACCGCAAGGCCUCAUGCUAUAGGAGCGGCCGAUGUCUGAUUAGCUAGUUGGUGGGGUAAAGGCCCACCAAGGCGACGAUCAGUAGCUGGUCUGAGAGGACGAUCAGCCACACUGGGACUGAGACACGGCCCAGACUCCUACGGGAGGCAGCAGUGGGAAUUUUGGACAAUGGGCGAAAGCCUGAUCCAGCAAUGCCGCGUGUGUGAAGAAGG
This 408-nucleotide ribosomal RNA is filed under the name uncultured microorganism. RNAcentral describes it as "bacterial SSU rRNA". It matches the Rfam family "Bacterial small subunit ribosomal RNA", at positions 9 to 414 of the family's 1533-position model. The record is from RNAcentral.